ACAUCACAACUUUCUCUCUCUUGAAAAUUGAUCACCAGCUCAUCUUUAAUCACUCAUAUCUCUCCCUCUCUUGAAUCCCCUCAUCUUUCAUCUCUCUCUAUCUUGAAAUUGUUCACCAGCUUCAUCUUUAAUGUAAUCAUCUUCAAGAAACCACAAAUCAGGUGGUUGGUCGGUGGCAGAAGUCGGGUGUGCGAGGUGGUUGGUCGGAAGACGGUGGUGUGGGAGGUGGUUGGUGGGAGUUGUGCAGAGGUGGAAGGCGGUGGUGGGGCGGUGGUUGGUGGGAGUCUUUGCGACAGCCGCGGUGGUGUCCGGCCACCAUCGCCUGAAAACGAACCGCCAUGGCCACCAUCCCUUCGAUGAGAGAGAAGGGGAAUCGAAGAAGGAGAUCGGAGAGAGAGAUAAAGACGGUGGAGGCCAAUUAGCACAAAGAGAGAGAGAUUCGAUGAGAGAAAAGGUGGUGGUGUUUGGACGAUGACGGUAAAGGUGGGGGUAGGUCGGAGCUCCGAUCCGGUCAGCGACGACAACAAGUUUCAGUCCGACUCAAGUAUGGUUUGAGUUUUUGUUCGGGUCAGCCGUGGGUCGAGUUUCGGGUCAGUGGGUGCGGGUUUGGUUCAACCCGGUUCGGAAGCUUCAGGUCGGUGGCUCAGUCAAACCGGGUCGGAUUCAGAGUUGUUCGGGUCAAGCUUCGGCUCUUCGGUAGCGAGUUAUUAUUACGUUAGUUUAGAUUUUAUUUAGUUAACGCACACCGAGCUCGAACCGAUACUUUAGUGACUUGUUCCAUUUAGCAUUUUGAUAGAAAUUUUAUAUAUUGUGUUUA
Helianthus annuus (common sunflower) is the source of this 817-nucleotide long non-coding RNA. RefSeq lists it as uncharacterized. The transcript has 2 exons. The record is from RefSeq and is a predicted model, not a curated record. Lineage: Eukaryota; Viridiplantae; Streptophyta; Magnoliopsida; Asterales; Asteraceae.